GUGGGGAAUUUUGGACAAUGGGCGCAAGCCUGAUCCAACAAUGCCGCGUGUGUGAAGAAGGCCUUCGGGUUGUAAAGCACUUUUGUCCGGAAAGAAAUGGCCUGGGUUAAUACCCCGGGUCGAUGACGGUACCGGAAGAAUAAGCACCGGCUAACUACGUGCCAGCAGCCGCGGUAAUACGUAGGGUGCGAGCGUUAAUCGGAAUUACUGGGCGUAAAGCGUGCGCAGGCGGCGAUGCAAGACAGAUGUGAAAUCCCCGGGCUCAACCUGGGAACUGCAUUUGUGACUGCAUGGCUAGAGUGCGUCAGAGGGGGGUGGAAUUCCGCGUGUAGCAGUGAAAUGCGUAGAGAUGCGGAGGAACACCGAUGGCGAAGGCAGCCCCCUGGGAUGACACUGACGCUCAUGCACGAAAGCGUGGGGAGCAAACAGGAUUAGAAACCCCUGUAGUCC
RNAcentral lists this ribosomal RNA (450 nucleotides) under uncultured bacterium. RNAcentral's name for it is "partial 16S ribosomal RNA". It matches the Rfam family "Bacterial small subunit ribosomal RNA", at positions 354 to 796 of the family's 1533-position model. The record is from RNAcentral.